GCUUGUAAGUUGUAAAUUGUCUUAUGGAUCCAAGAAAGUUAAAUUCAAUCUGGAAAAUUUGAUGCUUAAAUUAAAGGGAUCGCAUUUUUUUUUUAUCAUUUCUAUUCACUCUAGGACAGUUGCAUAGUUGGGAGGUUGAAAUUAUAUAGAACUGAAGCAAAGGUUCUAUUGUGCAUAGAGUUUAAAAUGAUUGAAGAUCUGAGUAGGAGAGAACAGAUUUGAUAAUUGGAGGUUGGAUUAGGAUGACCUUGUCUUUAUUUCUUUCUUCUGUAAGAAUCAUGGAGAUGCUUCAUAGGGAACAGAUUGUAAAGAGUUGCGAUUUAGGGGUAAAAAAAAAAUGAAUUCCUUAUAUGACAUGCAUAUUCUAAUUUGUUAGACAAUCAUUGCUAGUGAUUUUUUUCUUUUUUUGUUUGGAGUAUUGAUAUAGCAACUGCCAACUCUUUUCAGCUUAAUCUUAGGAGAUUAUCUUGAGAUCCUUUGGAAAUCGUUUUAUGUAUUAGGUGGAUAGGUAAGUGGGGAGCAAUGCAGGCCUAGAUAAAUGAUUAAUUUUGCCUAUGAUGAGGAACCUUCCAUACUGGAACCAUUGUGAUGUGCCCUUUUCACCGUCUAGAUUUUGGUUUCGUUCUUUAAGUAGUCCUACCUGUCUCUGCUUCUCUCCCUUGUGAAAUGAAAGAACAUCUAUUCUUCCUUUUGUAGGGCAA
Molecule: unclassified non-coding RNA, 701 nt
Filed under: Hevea brasiliensis (rubber tree)
Lineage: Eukaryota; Viridiplantae; Streptophyta; Magnoliopsida; Malpighiales; Euphorbiaceae
Source: RNAcentral